Molecule: long non-coding RNA, 1328 nt
Organism: Dreissena polymorpha
Lineage: Eukaryota; Metazoa; Mollusca; Bivalvia; Myida; Dreissenidae
Exons: 4
Source: RefSeq, a predicted model, not a curated record
GUUCUUUCACGCUAAAGCUACAGUUGUUUAGUGUUUUUUCCCCCAUUUUUCUUAAAAAUCGGGGACGUAGAGGUAUGAUUAACAGAAUAACAGGUGUCAAAUUGAUUAAACCUUAGGCUGUAUUGUUCCUUCGUGCCACGCAAACCAAAAUGCAAGAAGUUGUUUAGGCCACAUGGUGUGGACAAGAACUUUUGGACUGUAAGGACCUAGGACACCCUGCCACAUUAUAUCUAUUUCAUGGUCGGUACUUUUCCAAGAAGGCAACACACUUGCUUGUAAACUGUGAAAAUCACUGUUGGCUUAAAGAAAUACUGCACUUCCGGUCCAGGCUACUGAUGAUGGCCCGGAUACUUGUCGGCUCAAACUCUGUGCCAUCUUCGCGUUGCAGGGAUAGAAUUAACGUUGCAACAUGCUCGUCAAGGACAUCGACAUCCAACUGAUGCAUUUCCCUGGUCCCACCUUUGUCAGUAGAAACCUCUGGAACUUUUUUGUGUCAUUUAAUGUUUUUUUUUUGCUGUGUUUUUGUUUUCUUGUUUGGUGAUGUACUGUCGGACAACAUAAAGCUCUAUGUUUUUAAAUUGAUUUGGAAUUGACUGAUUGAGAUGUUUGGCUUCAUUUUGAACUGUAACAUUUGUGUUAUUUUGAUCAUCACAAUUUGACUCAGGGUCAUUAGUCUCAGUUAAAUCCUCAUCAAAUUGAAGUGCAUUUAUUCCAUAUUUUUGCUCAAAUGCUUCCAAACUUAAUUCCACAACAUUUGAAAACAAACCAUCCCAUACCACAUCAAAAUCACCUGUUUCUUGGUUUAACAUUGUUGUCAAAAUGUAUUUUAUUUGAUGAAAUAUGUUUUGCUACAGUUUUAUUUAAAUUCUUGAUUGUGUAUUAUUUAUUUUUUCAUUAUUUGAAGAACAAUUGACAUUUAAGACUUAAGCAGACAACUUGAUUUGCUGCUGACUUAUUUAAUAAAAUACAUGAAAUAAAAAAGAAACAUUUAAUAUAUUUUAAAUAUUUAUUUCUGAACAAUUUAUUUCCAAUUAAAUGAAAAUAAUAUAUUUUAUUAUUGCAUUGUGUUGAUUUUUAGCCAUUCAUUGACGAGAAAAGUCAUACACAAGGUAAACAAUGGCGAACUACUGAACCGUGAUAAGUGACGUCAUACAAAAAGUAGUCCCUCUUAAUAAUGACGUCAUGAGGGCGCGCACUUAAUAUUUGUAAACAAUGUUGUUGUUUUUUGCUGUUUGUGUUGCAUUUUGUGUUUCAACUAUUUUACAUCUUGGUAUCAAAUUGUUUGUUUUGUUUAAUCUGAUUCGAUUUUACUAAAACUGAUUACUUAA